Molecule: ribosomal RNA, 253 nt
Filed under: uncultured bacterium
Lineage: Bacteria
Description: partial 16S ribosomal RNA
Rfam family: Bacterial small subunit ribosomal RNA
Source: RNAcentral
UACGGGGGGGGCAAGCGUUGUUCGGAAUUACUGGGCGUAAAGGGCUCGUAGGUGGCCAACUAAGUCAGACGUGAAAUCCCUCGGCUUAACCGGGGAACUGCGUCUGAUACUGGAUGGCUUGAGUUUGGGAGAGGGAUGCGGAAUUCCAGGUGUAGCGGUGAAAUGCGUAGAUAUCUGGAGGAACACCGGUGGCGAAAGCGUUCUGCUAGGCCUGUACUGACACUGAGGGACGAAAGCUAGGGGAGCGAAUGGG